CACGUAGGCACCAAGCGUUGUCCGGAUUUAUUGGGCGUAAAGAGCGCGCAGGCGGUCGUGCAAGUCGCGUGUGAAAGCCCCCGGCUCAACUGGGGAGGGUCACGCGAUACUGCUCGACUCGAAGGCAGGAGAGGGAAGUGGAAUUCCCGGUGUAGUGGUGAAAUGCGUAGAUAUCGGGAGGAACACCAGUGGCGAAGGCGACUUCCUGGCCUGUUCUUGACGCUGAGGCGCGAAAGCUAGGGUAGCAAACGGG
This 253-nucleotide ribosomal RNA is filed under the name uncultured bacterium. RNAcentral describes it as "partial 16S ribosomal RNA". It matches the Rfam family "Bacterial small subunit ribosomal RNA", at positions 524 to 776 of the family's 1533-position model. The record is from RNAcentral.